GACAGAGGGUGCAAACGUUGCUCGGAAUCACUGGGCGUAAAGGGCGUGUAGGCGGGAAGGCAAGUCAGAUGUGAAAGCCCCAGGCUCAACCUGGGAACUGCAUUUGAAACUGCUUUUCUUGAGUAUCGGAGAGGAAAGUGGAAUACCUGGUGUAGAGGUGAAAUUCGUAGAUAUCAGGUGGAACACCAGUGGCGAAGGCGGCUUUCUGGACGAUAACUGACGCUGAGACGCGAAAGCGUGGGGAGCAAACAGG
Molecule: ribosomal RNA, 253 nt
Filed under: uncultured bacterium
Lineage: Bacteria
Description: partial 16S ribosomal RNA
Rfam family: Bacterial small subunit ribosomal RNA
Source: RNAcentral